RNAcentral lists this ribosomal RNA (309 nucleotides) under uncultured Lactobacillus sp. Its description in RNAcentral is "bacterial SSU rRNA". It matches the Rfam family "Bacterial small subunit ribosomal RNA", at positions 227 to 524 of the family's 1533-position model. Lineage: Bacteria; Bacillati; Bacillota; Bacilli; Lactobacillales; Lactobacillaceae. The record is from RNAcentral.
GCCGCCGCGGUGCAUUAGCUAGUUGGUAAGGUAAAGGCUUACCAAGGCGAUGAUGCAUAGCCGAGUUGAGAGACUGAUCGGCCACAUUGGGGACUGAGACACGGCCCAAAACUCCUACGGGGAGGCAGCAGUAGGGAAUCUUCCACAAUGGACGCAAGUCUGAUGGAGCAACGCCGCGUGAGUGAAGAAGGUUUUCGGAUCGUAAAAGCUCUGUUGUUGGUGAAGAAGGAUAGAGGUAGUAACUGGCCUUUAUUUGACGGUAAUCAACCAGAAAGUCACGGCUAACUACGUGCCAGCAGCCGCGGUAAU